GGGUGAGUAACACGUAUGGAACCUGCCCGUAGCAGGGGGAUAAGCGGAAGAAAUUCCGUCUAAUACCGCGUAAUAACUCCGAGAGGCAUCUCAUGGAGUUUAAAGGGUAACACCGGCUACGGAUGGCCAUGCGGCGCAUUAGCUAGUUGGCGGGGUAACGGCCCACCAAGGCGACGAUGCGUAGGGGUUCUGAGAGGAAGGUCCCCCACACUGGUACUGAGACACGGACCAGACUCCUACGGGAGGCAGCAGUGAGGAAUAUUGGUCAAUGGGCGCGAGCCUGAACCAGCCAAGUCGCGUGAGGGAAGACGGUCCUAUGGAUUGUAAACCUCUUUUGUCGGGGAGCAAAAGACGUCACGUGUGGCGUUCCGAGAGUACCCGAAGAAAAAGCAUCGGCUAACUCCGUGCCAGCAGCCGCGGUAAUACGGAGGAUGCGAGCGUUAUCCGGAUUUAUUGGGUUUAAAGGGUGCGCAGGCGGAAGAUCAAGUCAGCGGUAAAAUUGAGGGGCUCAACCUCUUCGAGCCGUUGAAACUGGUUUUCUUGAGUGAGCGAGAAGUAUGCGGAAUGCGUGGUGUAGCGGUGAAAUGCAUAGAUAUCACGCAGAACUCCGAUUGCGAAGGCAGCAUACCGGCGCUCAACUGACGCUCAUGCACGAAAGUGUGGGUAUCGAACAGGAUUAGAUACCCUGGUAGUCCACACAGUAAACGAU
This 709-nucleotide ribosomal RNA is filed under the name uncultured bacterium. Its description in RNAcentral is "bacterial SSU rRNA". It matches the Rfam family "Bacterial small subunit ribosomal RNA", at positions 104 to 810 of the family's 1533-position model. The record is from RNAcentral.